CUUGCUGGAGAUCUCUGCAUACCUGAGGCAUUCUAAAGAUUGCAAAGAGGCUGAGAGAGAAGAAAAGGAAACACGGGGACCUAGUGAUAACGGGUGAUGGACGUGAUGCCGUAUCCUCACCGAGAAUACCAGAGAUUGUAAAGCAUUGAGAAAUCAAACUGACAAGUGGGAACACAGGCUCAGCAUAAGAAACGGCGGCUUGCUCAGAGCUCCUGCAGGCCUGGAGAGCUUUUCGGUUCUCCUCACGAUGGAUUAAGUGGAUGUUGGCGAUAGAUAAUUUUGAACUCCCUCUGCAAUGUGUUCUGGCUUGUCAUAUCCACGGGGAGGCCUGGAGCCAGAGAGACAAGCACCCGGUGUGAUGCUCACAGACGUGAAGCUCCUUGAAAAACGAGAGGGGAAAAGUAGCGUCCAGCAAGGCUGGUGACACCACAGAGCCUUUGGAUACCUGGGCAGCCCAAGGGAUGAGUGGGAGCAGGGCAUGAUACUGGCUGGUUUUGCUGCAGGGGAGAACACUGGCCUUGGUCGAUGAGUAGACCCAAAUUCCAAGCGUUCCCCAAGGAGCCAUGGAGGGUUAACUGCUUCCAGUGCUGGUCAGAGAGUGGGAUUCCUGGCAGGUGAGGGAAGGGGUGAUGCAGCAGGAAACUGCACAGCCACAGCACUCAAAAGAGAACUUCAAACCUCUCAGCAUUAGGCAGGUGUAAUGUUGCAUGUGGGAAAAGCAUCCCAGUAACAACAAAUAUAAAAGUUCAGUCUUCCUUCUUAAUUAUUUUGCAGUUCCACGUGCAAGAAUUGUUUUCAGCCUUUCAUACCUCCCCUUCUCCCUGUAUCACUCUCCCCUGCACAGACUGAGCUGCUUUCCUCUGCCAAUUGCUGCUCCAGAAGCAGCUCGGAAAGGGCAGAGAUGCUCUGCGUGGAGAUCAGAGCUGGAGGCUGCUUUGAAAAUCCCCGGGGCAAAGGAGAGGGGCAGGAAUGUGAUGCCCUGCCUGAGCUGCCAUAAAAUUGGCCAAGAAAUCUUAACGGCUUUGAUGAAAAAUGCCUUCCUUUGCUUUUGACACUUCUGUCUAAACAGUGUUAGGAGUCGGACUGAUAUCACAGCUUCCACCUGCAGCAGCAGCAGGAAUAAACAUGCCUGGAUAGAUAUUGUGUCCUCACCGAGCUGGGAGCGAUGAUACGGUACGUGGAAGUUUUAAUUUAUGGGUUCAAAGGCUGCAGAUGCUGGAAAAUGUCUAUAACCCGAAUGAGAAAUAAAGAUUAUGAUGUGAAAGCCCCAUCAGUGUAAGUGGCCAGAGCCCAUGCAGGCACACUUGUGAGCUCCGAGUGCUCGGCACAAGCCACUAAAUAUUCCUGUGCCAGGAAGCCAGGUUUGCAGUAAAAGCAAACACAUUUACAGAAAGCCAUGUAGAGGCACAUCCAUAUACAUACACACAACUUCUCAUCAAAACCCUCAGGAUUUCAAAGCAGUAACAGCACUUAGUUUUGGCUGUUUGUACAUAUGUGAUGAGAGUCCUUCUGGUUUUAGCUGUUUUCUGCCAAUUUUCUCCAAUAUUUGUCAGACAUUGGUUCAAACCCUGUAAGAGUUGGGGAGAAAUGUUGAAGUACCUUUGAAUUUUGAUGAAUGUGAUUUUCACGUGGGAUGCAUAAUGAUCCAAUCCGUGGCGCUGCCACCCAGUCACAUCCAGGUCAGCCUGAGAUACUGAUCUCCAAUGAACCCCCGAGCAUUGGGGGGAUCCAGAAAGCUGAAAGGAAAUGAAUAUUGUGCCAAUGAAUGGGAAGGAUAAACAAUAUGACCUGUGUCAUUACAGCCCUGACAGCCCAACUUUGAUUCUCGGAAAAUAAUGAGAUGUCUGCUGUGGGACUUGUUAAGUAAGGAAUUAAAGGGAAUAACACAAAGGAUGCCAAUCAAGGGGGACUUAUGGAAAAAAAAAAAAUCUUGUUAAAAUAUGUUGGUGUCUUUUUUGUGAGGUUAUACAUUUGGCUGAUACAGGUGAUGCUGUUGUUGUGAUACACUCAGGCUGGGUCCUGUGUGAUAUCUUGACUAAGAGACUGGGAUGGAAGGAGGUCAGCAGGGCGCACACAGGCAAUGCAGAGCCGGCCACGUGGCACGUCCCAGAAUGUGCCUCUGGGCAGGGGGUCCUCUCAGUGUGUGCUGGAUCACCUUUAUUUGGCAUUUUUAUCAAUGACCUGCAAGAAAGCAUCACAUCAGCCC
This is a long non-coding RNA of Gallus gallus (chicken), 2206 nucleotides long. The record is from Ensembl. NCBI's taxonomy places the organism in Eukaryota, Metazoa, Chordata, Aves, Galliformes, Phasianidae.